Non-coding RNA from Mycena latifolia, 93 nucleotides. The record is from the annotation of a GenBank genome assembly. NCBI's taxonomy places the organism in Eukaryota, Fungi, Basidiomycota, Agaricomycetes, Agaricales, Mycenaceae.
GGCCUGAUAGCACAGUUGGUUAGUGUGUCUGCUAAAGAUAAAUAUCCCAUCUUUCUUGUGUAGAAGAUCCCUGUUCAAUUCGGGGUCAGGCCA